AAGUCGUAACAAGUUUCCGUAGGUGAACCUGCGGAAUUGUUUCUCGAACGGUUUCGGGUUGGCGUAUCACGCGGGUCUGCCCACCGCGGAACAACCUCACAAAAAAAACUACCGAUGCGCCGGAUCCUAGCGGGUUCAGUGUCGGAAACCCCGAACAACUGUUAGCAAUGGAUAUCUUGGCUCUC
This 185-nucleotide unclassified non-coding RNA is filed under the name fungal sp. RNAcentral describes it as "partial internal transcribed spacer region". Lineage: Eukaryota; Fungi. The record is from RNAcentral.